Chelonia mydas (Green sea turtle) is the source of this 497-nucleotide long non-coding RNA. RefSeq lists it as uncharacterized. Lineage: Eukaryota; Metazoa; Chordata; Testudines; Cheloniidae. The record is from RefSeq and is a predicted model, not a curated record. The transcript has 3 exons.
AGCCGCUGUGCAUUAACCCCGGAGCAGUUAUGACAUAUCUCGAAUACCCGAGCGUGAUCCUCCACCCCCUGCCGCUGCCCGGGUACCGUUCCCACCCUGCACCCAGAAGGACAGACAGACACACGGCUCAGCAUGUCCGACAGCCCCAGCCCAGGAGGGGCCCCCCAGGGGGGAGCCCCAAAUGAACCCGAGGGGCAGCCCCCCUGCGCUGAGCUCAAAGCGGCCAUGGAGAAAUGCGUGAGGGAGAACGGGGAGGAGUCGUGCAAGGAGCUGAUGGAAUCGUACCACGAGUGUCUCCGUGCCCUGGGCAUCAAGGUCUAGCAGCCCCCACACAGUGCUGGCGUGGCCAAUGGGUGCAGGGUCACCUGGCGGAGCCCGGCUGAGAGGGCGAAGAGCCACGAAGACACACCAGCGGCCGUGGAGGGGGCAGCUGCUCCAGAUUCGGGGGGGGAGGGGGGAAAGGAUGGGGGGCAGGGCUAUAAACUGGCAACAUUUUA